AACAAAAACAUGUCCUUUAGAUAUAUAAUUUAAGGUCUAAUCUGCCCACUGAUUAAUUAAAUGGCCGCAGUAAUUUGACUGUGCAAAGGUAGCAUAAUCAUUAGUUUUUUAAUUAAAAGCUUGUAUGAAUGAUUGGACGAGAUAAAAUCUGUCUCUUAAUUAAUUUAGAAUUUAAUUUUUAAGUUAAAAAGCUUAAAUUUUUAUAAAAGACGAGAAGACCCUAUAGAUCUUUAUUUAUUUAUUUUAUAAUUUAUUUGAUGAUUAAUUUAUUUAAUAUAAAAUUAUAAAUUUUAUUGGGGUAAUAAAAAGAUUAAAUAAAUUCUUUUUUAUAAAAACAAUAAUAAUUGAUUUUGUGAUCCAUAUAUAAUGAUUAUAAGAUUAAGUUACCUUAGGGAUAACAGCGUAAUUUUUUUAAAGAGUUCAUAUCGAUAAAAAAGUUUGCGACCUCGAUGUUG
This 455-nucleotide ribosomal RNA is filed under the name Hovahydrus sinapi. Its description in RNAcentral is "partial 16S ribosomal RNA". It matches the Rfam family "Bacterial large subunit ribosomal RNA", at positions 1806 to 2534 of the family's 2925-position model. The record is from RNAcentral. Lineage: Eukaryota; Metazoa; Arthropoda; Insecta; Coleoptera; Dytiscidae.